GAUGAAGAACGCAGCGAAAUGCGAUAAGUAAUGUGAAUUGCAGAAUUCAGUGAAUCAUCGAAUCUUUGAACGCGCAUUGCGCCCAUUAGCAUUCUAGUGGGCAUGCCUGUUCGAGCGUCAUUUCAACCCUUAAGCCCCUGUUGCUUAGCGUUGGGAGCCUACAGCACUGUAGCUCCCCAAAGUUAGUGGCGGAGUCGGUCUCACACUCUAGACGUAGUAAAUCUAUCUCGUCUGUAGUUGGGCCGGUCCCCUGCCGUAAAACCCCUAAAUUUUUAAAGGUUGACCUCGGAUCAGGUAGGAAUACCCGCUGAACUUAAGCAUAUCAAUAAGCGGAGGA
RNAcentral lists this unclassified non-coding RNA (337 nucleotides) under soil metagenome. Its description in RNAcentral is "partial contains 5.8S ribosomal RNA, internal transcribed spacer 2, and large subunit ribosomal RNA". The stretch from base 1 to 120 matches the Rfam family "5.8S ribosomal RNA", at positions 35 to 154 of the family's 154-position model. The record is from RNAcentral.